GCAGCCGCCGCGGUAAUACGAAGGGGGCAAGCGUUGUUCGGAAUUAUUGGGCGUAAAGGGUGCGUAGGCGGUUUGAUAAGUCUUGUGUGAAAUCUAUGGGCUCAACCCAUAGUCUGCGCAGGAAACUGUCGGGCUUGAGAGUGGGAGAGGUGAGUGGAAUUUCCGGUGUAGCGGUGAAAUGCGUAGAUAUCGGAAGGAACACCUGUGGCGAAAGCGGCUCACUGGACCAUUUCUGACGCUGAUGCACGAAAGCUAGGGGAGCAAACAGGAUUAGAUACCCCCGUAGUCCCUGUCUCUUAUAA
This 302-nucleotide ribosomal RNA is filed under the name uncultured bacterium. Its description in RNAcentral is "partial 16S ribosomal RNA". It matches the Rfam family "Bacterial small subunit ribosomal RNA", at positions 508 to 809 of the family's 1533-position model. The record is from RNAcentral.